GACGAACGCUGGCGGCGUGCCUAAUACAUGCAAGUAGAACGCACAGUUUAUACCGUAGCUUGCUACACCAUAGACUGUGAGUUGCGAACGGGUGAGUAACGCGUAGGUAACCUGCCUGGUAGCGGGGGAUAACUAUUGGAAACGAUAGCUAAUACCGCAUAAUAUUGAUUAUUGCAUGAUAAUUGAUUGAAAGAUGCUAUUGCAUCACUACCAGAUGGACCUGCGUUGUAUUAGCUAGUAGGUGAGGUAACGGCUCACCUAGGCGACGAUACAUAGCCGACCGGAGAGGGUGAUCGGCCACACUGGGACUGGGACACGGCCCAGACUCCUACGGGAGGCAGCAGUAGGGAAUCUUCGGCAAUGGACGAAAGUUUGACCGAGCAACGCCGCGUGAGUGAAGAAGGUUUUCGGAUCGUAAAGCUCUGUUGUAAGAGAAGAACGGGUGUGAGAGUGGAAAGUUCACACUGUGACGGUAUCUUACCAGAAAGGGACGGCUAACUACGUG
This 505-nucleotide ribosomal RNA is filed under the name uncultured bacterium. RNAcentral's name for it is "partial 16S ribosomal RNA". It matches the Rfam family "Bacterial small subunit ribosomal RNA", at positions 28 to 507 of the family's 1533-position model. The record is from RNAcentral.